Molecule: non-coding RNA, 78 nt
Filed under: Gloeocapsa sp. PCC 73106
Lineage: Bacteria; Bacillati; Cyanobacteriota; Cyanophyceae; Chroococcidiopsidales; Chroococcidiopsidaceae
Source: RNAcentral
GGGAGCUGUAUGCGAUGAAAAUCGCACGUACAGUUCUAACUGAGAGGGACGAGGGAUAAUACCCUCUCUCGACUCAAC